GCAUUUACUGGGACUGAUCAUUCAUGCCCAAUUUCAUUGUCUCCUGGGUGAUACAAACUGAUCAUUUCCACUGAUUACUUUUUCUUAUUCUAGUGUCCAGAGGACUUUAAGCAUGCUACUGCAUUUGCACAAAUCAAGGCCAAAUUUCUCAAGCUUUCAGGCCCUACCACAUGCUCAUUAGAUGUGUCCAAUCUAAAGCAUUAAAUUAGAUGGUCAUUUUUCAAGAAGGUAACUCCAUAAGGAUAAAGCUGCCUGUUAUGUGGACCACAAAGCUAAAAGUCCAGUAGCCGUCAUGAGUCACCUAACCCUGAAGAAGGAAGGGCAUCACUGAGGCUGGAACAACAAAGAAACGGCAGGAAGCUACAUCACAUCUCACCACGAAGAGCUGCCGCACCAGGCCUCGCCUGGCAACUCAGGAUGGCUUUUACACAUGUGUCAUGACGAGUCUGAUUCAUUUGUCUGUUGCUGUUGGUGGUGGUUUACUUUUUCCCUUCAGUUUUUAAAAUGAAUGAAGUAUAGUGGACAUAGAA
Long non-coding RNA from Felis catus (domestic cat), 530 nucleotides. RefSeq lists it as uncharacterized. The transcript has 2 exons. The record is from RefSeq and is a predicted model, not a curated record. NCBI's taxonomy places the organism in Eukaryota, Metazoa, Chordata, Mammalia, Carnivora, Felidae.